This 607-nucleotide ribosomal RNA is filed under the name Pantoea sp. L38(2010). Its description in RNAcentral is "bacterial SSU rRNA". It matches the Rfam family "Bacterial small subunit ribosomal RNA", at positions 705 to 1309 of the family's 1533-position model. The record is from RNAcentral. Lineage: Bacteria; Pseudomonadati; Pseudomonadota; Gammaproteobacteria; Enterobacterales; Erwiniaceae.
AAUACCGGUGGCGGAAGGCGGCCCCCUGGACGAAGACUGACGCUCAGGUGCGAAAGCGUGGGGGAGCAAACAGGAUUAGAUACCCGUGGUAGUCCACGCCGUAAACGAUGUCGACUUGGAGGUUGUUCCCUUGAGGAGUGGCUUCCGGAGCUAACGCGUUAAGUCGACCGCCUGGGGAGUACGGCCGCAAGGUUAAAACUCAAAUGAAUUGACGGGGGCCCGCACAAGCGGUGGAGCAUGUGGUUUAAUUCGAUGCAACGCGAAGAACCUUACCUACUCUUGACAUCCAGAGAAUUUAGCAGAGAUGCUUUGGUGCCUUCGGGAACUGUGAGACAGGUGCUGCAUGGCUGUCGUCAGCUCGUGUUGUGAAAUGUUGGGUUAAGUCCCGCAACGAGCGCAACCCUUAUCCUUUGUUGCCAGCGAUUCGGUCGGGAACUCAAAGGAGACUGCCGGUGAUAAACCGGAGGAAGGUGGGGAUGACGUCAAGUCAUCAUGGCCCUUACGAGUAGGGCUACACACGUGCUACAAUGGCGCAUACAAAGAGAAGCGACCUCGCGAGAGCAAGCGGACCUCAUAAAGUGCGUCGUAGUCCGGAUCGGAGUCUGCA